This 27-nucleotide non-coding RNA is filed under the name Homo sapiens (human). Lineage: Eukaryota; Metazoa; Chordata; Mammalia; Primates; Hominidae. The record is from RNAcentral.
UUCAUACCAUUGUCUACCUGUGAUUCC